This 332-nucleotide ribosomal RNA is filed under the name uncultured eukaryote. Its description in RNAcentral is "partial 18S ribosomal RNA". It matches the Rfam family "Eukaryotic small subunit ribosomal RNA", at positions 1470 to 1796 of the family's 1831-position model. The record is from RNAcentral.
CCCUUAGAUGUUCUGGGCUGCACACGUGCUACACUGGCAGGUUCAGCGAGCUUCAUGCCCUGAUCUGAAAGGAAUGGGAAAUCUUUUCAAAACCUGCCGUGCUUGGGAUAGAUGUUUGCAAUUAUUCAUCUUCAACGAGGAUUGCCUUGUAAGCGCACGUCAUCAGCGUGCAUUGAAUACGACCCUGUAUUCUGUACACACCGCCCGGCGCUCCUACCGAUUGAAGUUUUCGGUGAGUUGACAGGAGGAUUUUUUUGAAACUGGUUCGCCAGUGGAUUUUAGAUCCAAAUGCCAACGAAUCGAUGGCUUUAGAGGAAGGAGAAGUCGUAACA